RNAcentral lists this unclassified non-coding RNA (489 nucleotides) under Hevea brasiliensis (rubber tree). The record is from RNAcentral. Lineage: Eukaryota; Viridiplantae; Streptophyta; Magnoliopsida; Malpighiales; Euphorbiaceae.
UAAUAAACAAAAGAAAAAAAAAAGUAACAAGGAAUCCAAUAAAUAACCUUGUGAUAGUAAAGCAAAUUACACUUGCAUAAUAAUGAAUUAAAACAAAAUAAAGAAGAAUCCAAACCUUUGUGAAAUAGCCUCUAUAACCCCAUUAACAUAUUGUUUUAAAAAAUAUAUCAUAAGACUACAUGAAUUAUGAAAUAUUGAAGACUUAGAGAGAGACAGAGAGGCAUCAGAAAAAAGUUCAGCCUAAAGAAAAUGGUAAAUUUAAAUAAGGACAAAAAAAAAUGCUGGAGUAGCUCAACCACUAAAGGUGCAUUUAGCAACAAAAAAAGCAAAAAAGAAAAGAACAGAAAAGAAUUUGAAUCUUGUGCACCACCAAAAAAGUCUAAAUAGCAUACUGAGAUCUAAACCGAAUUGAAAGUAUAGCAAAUAUUACAAGACAAGCAAAUUCCUUUGAAAUAAUCCAAUUUGAACCCAGAGAGAGAGAGAGAGAGA